Molecule: ribosomal RNA, 496 nt
Filed under: uncultured bacterium
Lineage: Bacteria
Description: partial 16S ribosomal RNA
Rfam family: Bacterial small subunit ribosomal RNA
Source: RNAcentral
AUGCACGCUGGCGGCGUGCCUAAUACAUGCAAGUCGAGCGAACGGACGAGAAGCUUGCUUCUCUGAUGUUAGCGGCGGACGGGUGAGUAACACGUGGAUAACCUACCUAUAAGACUGGGAUAACUUCGGGAAACCGAAGCUAAUACCGGAUGAUAUUUUGAACCGCAUGGUUCAAAAGUGAAAGACGGUCUUGCUGUCACUUAUAGAUGGAUCCGCGCUGCAUUAGCUAGUUGGUAAGGUAACGGCUUACCAAGGCAACGAUGCAUAGCCGACCUGAGAGGGUGAUCGGCCACACUGGAACUGAGACACGGUCCAGACUCCUACGGGAGGCAGCAGUAGGGAAUCUUCCGCAAUGGGCGAAAGCCUGACGGAGCAACGCCGCGUGAGUGAUGAAGGUCUUCGGAUCGUAAAACUCUGUUAUUAGGGAAGAACAUAUGUGUAAGUAACUGUGCACAUCUUGACGGUACCUAAUCAGAAAGCCACGGCUAACUACGUG